Molecule: long non-coding RNA, 1264 nt
Organism: Bos taurus (domestic cattle)
Lineage: Eukaryota; Metazoa; Chordata; Mammalia; Artiodactyla; Bovidae
Source: Ensembl
CACCCUUAGUGCCAGGGGUAUGGUCAUUGCCAAAGAGAGGGCCAGACAGCUUAAUACCUCAAAGCCUGCCUGGGCGACUUCCCUGGUGGUCCAGUGGCUAAGACUCCACACUCUCUGCAAGGGGCUUGGGUUUAAUCCCUGAUCAGAGAACUAGAUCCCACAUGCUGCAACUAAGACCCGGCACCGCCAAAUAAAUAAACAUUUUUUUAAAAAUAAAAAGGACAUUUAAAAAAAAAAACCUCCCUGGGCCAGAGCACAACACCAAAGCCCAGUCUCCUUUCAGUGCAGCAUAGGCUCACUGUGGGAUUCAGCCCAGGGCUGCACGACAGAAGAAAAGAGACAUGGAUAGUUAGAGGGCAAAAGGGACGAGUGGUCUCUUAUGUUGAUUGGAAAUCACAAGUUGGGGAAAAAAGGCAAAGAGGAUUGACUGGUUUGGACUGGUCACCUGGAAAGGAGCAACUAUGUGCAUACACACCAGAAGCAUACAACAUGAUAUGGGUCUACGUUCAGCACUGAGAAGCAUCAGAGAUAAAUCUCCCUGGGAACAUUUCAUGUCUGACUGCUUCAGACUUGUUUGCCUAAGGUCAUGUGCUGUACUGUGCUUAGUCGCUCAGUCAUGUCUGACUCUUUGCAACCCCAUGGACUGUGGCCCAACAAACUCCUCUGAGCAAGAAUACUGGAAUGGGUUGCCAUAUCCUCCUCCAGGGAAUCUUCCCAACCAAGGGAUCGAACCCAGGUCUCCUACAUUGCAGGCAGAUUCUUUACCAACUGAGCUAUCAGGGAAGCCUAUAUAUGUAUAUAUAACUGAGUCACUUUCCUGUACAGCAGAAAUUAAACACAGCAUUGUAAAUCAACUAUAUGUCAAUAAUUUUUUUUUAAUUAACAGUCAUAUCCCUGAUAAAAUUUAGGCUGAAGAGCUAUCAUAUAAACGCUAACAGCAUGUAGCCAGACAUGAUGGUUCUAUGGUCCUGGAUGCACUUCAGCAACUUCGUAAAACCCACCUUUAAAAUCAUCUUAGGCCAAUAGCACCCAAUCAUUCUAACAAAAUCAUUCUUCCCUCUCACUGCCACUUCUUUAUUUCCCUUUCUGUUUUUAUUUCUGUUUGUAUCCUCUUUCACCAUUUACAUUCAAGUCAAUUUGUCCAUUUGAAUUAAUUUCCCAGGAAAAUCUUUGGAAAGGUCAGUCUUUUUUAAUUAAUUCCCCUAUAAGAUCCAUGUAACCCACAGCUUGUUUUUUCUGUUACUUCCAUUUUUAUUCUGCCCAA